GAUGAACGCUGGCGGCGUGCUUAACACAUGCCAGUCGAACGAGAAAUGUAGACGGACACCUUCGGGCGGAAGCCUUCAUUUCGAGUGGCGGACGGGUGAGUAACGCGUGGGUAACCUGCCUCAUACAGGGGGAUAACAGUUGGAAACGACUGUUAAUACCGCAUAAGACCACAGCAUCGCAUGAUGCGGGGGUAAAAACUCCGGUGGUAUGAGAUGGACCCGCGUUCGAUUAGCCAGUUGGCGGGGUAACGGCCCACCAAAGCGACGAUCGAUAGCCGAUCUGAGAGGAUGACCGGCCACAUUGGGACUGAGACACGGCCCAAACUCCUACGGGAGGCAGCAGUGGGGAAUAUUGCACAAUGGGGGAAACCCUGAUGCAGCGACGCCGCGUGAGUGAAGAAGUACUUCGGUAUGUAAAGCUCUAUCAGCAGGGAAGAAAAUGACGGUACCUGAGUAAGAAGCCCCGGCUAACUACGUG
This 478-nucleotide ribosomal RNA is filed under the name uncultured bacterium. RNAcentral describes it as "partial 16S ribosomal RNA". It matches the Rfam family "Bacterial small subunit ribosomal RNA", at positions 28 to 507 of the family's 1533-position model. The record is from RNAcentral.